Molecule: long non-coding RNA, 1795 nt
Filed under: Sus scrofa (pig)
Lineage: Eukaryota; Metazoa; Chordata; Mammalia; Artiodactyla; Suidae
Description: lncRNA (ENSSSCG00045018886.1)
Source: RNAcentral
UUUAAAGACCCCAUCCACGGUGGAGCGUGAAGAACUGCAGAAACCCUUGUCAAGAGUGUGGGAAAAUAGAAGAUAUGCCCUAUUUAUGUGUGUUCCCCAAGAAACCUACAGUCCAGCUGGCAAUAAAUGAAGAAAGGGCCGUGGUUUGCAAACAAAUCCCACUCACUUACUAAUACAGGCCCCCUUCCUCCGGAUGCCCACUCCUUCCAGGCCCAGUCAGCCCCAGAGGCCUGCAGAGACCCUCCUCCCCUCCCUCCCCUCCCUCCCCCUCCUCCCCCCCUUCCUCCUUACCCCCCUUCCUCCCCUCCUUGUUCCUCCUUCAAUUAAAGGUUAGUUAAUUGGAAAACAAUUACUUUCUGACUAUAUACUGCUUUUUAGUUGUUAAUCUCUCACCACCAGCCCCCCUUCCAACUUGUCUGGUUACCUCAGGAAAUGUUUUCAUGAUCACUUUCACUCUCAAGAGUUUAGAGCCAUAACAACAAAGCAAAACAAAAAUAACAAAAAAAUUCUGAUAUUGUUAUAGUCUUAGAUGAAUGGAAAUGGUGUUUAAUGGAAAAAUAUAACCUUUGAUGAACCAGAAGUUCUUUUCUGAAUCUUCACAGACUCCACCUCCUUUCUUUAUGUGGCUUCCCAACAAGUUGCAUUCAGUACUAUUAAAUGAAGGCUCUACUCUCUUCCUAGUUUGGUAACAUUACUCCUUUCUUUUUUUUCCUCCACCACUUUUCAACUGUUAUGAGGAAGCAGAAUUUUAAAAUCUGACCUGAUAAGUUAACCACUUUAUGUCAUUGUUUUUUGUAAACAAUGUGUAACACGUUUAAAAUCUGAAAGGUAUUAGAUUCCACAUGAUCACGAGACCGGCAAACUUAGAACACAGCAGAAAUACUGUGAACACAGGGAAAGACUGUGAAGCCGCUGCAUGAUUAAUUGUCAGAUUGCACUAGUAUUGGGUUUAGAGGAAGAAGUGAUCGCUGGGCUAGAGGGAUCUGAAAAGGUUAGACUCUUAAACGUGGGGUGGCAUUUAGAAAAGUGUUUUCAGGAGUUAAGAGAAGGGAGACGCUAUUGUUCUGAACUGAGGCUGUAUCCUAGAAUGUUUUUUAAUACCUUUGUCCAGAAAGCAGCACUGCCCACACACCACAAAGUCUGUGUGUGUAUCCCCUUCCUUGUCUUGCCCUCAUUUCCUCUCUCUCACCUCACAGUCUGUCUCUCCUGAAGCCGGGCCCCCAAGCCUCCACCUCCAUGGCCUGCAGUAGUUGAGAGAAGCAGCAGAAGGCUGAGAACAGAAACAAGGAUGAAGCUGUGCCGUGCUUGUAAACUGCGCGGAGUCGGAAAGCAAGCUGGGUUUGCGAGAAGCUGUCUUCAUCCACAUUUCACAGAUGAGGGAAUGGUCCUCAGAACAGCUUGUCCCUCUCUCCAACCUCCAGCCAGAGAAAGGAAGCCUGGGCUGGACCUGCCUGGUCCCUGAGCUGGUGUCAGAAAAUCCUCUGCAACAACAACAUGACAGGAGAAGGGAGACUAUAAGCCACUGCGAUCCCGGGCCCAGCACAGCACCUGGAGCUCCUUCAUCGUUAAGUAAUUGGCAUUAUGUAAAAAGAUCCAAGUAGUAGGUCAGGGACAGGGAAAGGAGCAGGGGCAUAUAAGAAAAAGAAAAAUGCAAAUGUUCAGAGUUCCCUGGUGGCCUGGCAGGUUAAAGACCUGGCAUUGCCACGGCUGUGGCUCGGGUUGUUGCUGUGGCAAGGGUUAAGUCCCUGGCCUAGGAACUUCUGCUUGCCUUGAGUGUGGCCAAAAAAAAAAAAAA